This is a non-coding RNA of Bos taurus (domestic cattle), 72 nucleotides long. Lineage: Eukaryota; Metazoa; Chordata; Mammalia; Artiodactyla; Bovidae. The record is from Rfam.
UUCCUGAUAGCUCAGUUGGUAGAGAAUCUGCCUGCAAUGCAGGUGACCCAUGUUCUAUUCUUGAGUCAGGAA